CUACGUGCCAGCAGCCGCGGUAAUACGUAGGGUGCGAGCGUUAAUCGGAAUUACUGGGCGUAAAGCGGGCGCAGACGGUUACUUAAGCAGGAUGUGAAAUCCCCGGGCUCAACCUGGGAACUGCGUUCUGAACUGGGUAACUAGAGUGUGUCAGAGGGAGGUAGAAUUCCACGUGUAGCAGUGAAAUGCGUAGAGAUGUGGAGGAAUACCGAUGGCGAAGGCAGCCUCCUGGGAUAACACUGACGUUCAUGCCCGAAAGCGUGGGUAGCAAACAGGAUUAGAUACCCUGGUAGUCCACGCCCUAAACGAUGUCGAUUAGCUGUUGGGCAGCUUGACUGCUUAGUAGCGAAGCUAACGCGUGAAAUCGACCGCCUGGGGAGUACGGUCGCAAGAUUAAAACUCAAAGGAAUUGACGGGGACCCGCACAAGCGGUGGAUGAUGUGGAUUAAUUCGAUGCAACGCGAAGAACCUUACCCGGGCUUGAA
This 485-nucleotide ribosomal RNA is filed under the name uncultured bacterium. RNAcentral describes it as "bacterial SSU rRNA". It matches the Rfam family "Bacterial small subunit ribosomal RNA", at positions 501 to 985 of the family's 1533-position model. The record is from RNAcentral.